This 118-nucleotide transfer RNA is filed under the name Bombyx mori (domestic silkworm). It matches the Rfam family "tRNA". Rfam says of the family: Transfer RNA (tRNA) molecules are approximately 80 nucleotides in length. Their secondary structure includes four short double-helical elements and three loops (D, anti-codon, and T loops). The record is from Rfam by way of RNAcentral. Lineage: Eukaryota; Metazoa; Arthropoda; Insecta; Lepidoptera; Bombycidae.
GUCAGGAUGGCCGAGCGGUCUAAGGCGCCAGACUCAAGGUUACCCUUGCCUAUACAAUAAUAGGUCUGAGUUGUUCUGGUCCUCUCUGAGGGCGUGGGUUCGAAUCCCACUUCUGACA